RNAcentral lists this ribosomal RNA (103 nucleotides) under Risleya atropurpurea. RNAcentral's name for it is "4.5S ribosomal RNA". Lineage: Eukaryota; Viridiplantae; Streptophyta; Magnoliopsida; Asparagales; Orchidaceae. The record is from RNAcentral.
UAAGGUCACGGCGAGACGAGCCGUUUAUCAUUAUAAUAGGUGCCAAGUGUAAGUGCAGUGAUGUAUGCAGCUAAGGCAUCCUAACAGACCGAUAGAUUUGAAC